GAGUUUGAUCUUGGCUCAGGAUUAACGCUAGCGGCAGGCCUAAUACAUGCAAGUCGUGGGGCAGCAGGUGUAGCAAUACAUGCUGGCGACCGGCGCACGGGUGCGUAACACGUAUGCAAUCUACCUAUAGCUGGGGAACAACUCCGGGAAACCGGGGCGUAAUACCGCAUGAAACUUCGAGAGGGCAUCCCCUUGAAGUCAAACCUCCGGGGGCCGUAUAGAUGAGCAUGCGUCCGA
Molecule: ribosomal RNA, 237 nt
Filed under: uncultured Sphingobacterium sp.
Lineage: Bacteria; Pseudomonadati; Bacteroidota; Sphingobacteriia; Sphingobacteriales; Sphingobacteriaceae
Description: partial 16S ribosomal RNA
Rfam family: Bacterial small subunit ribosomal RNA
Source: RNAcentral